This is a non-coding RNA of Salmo salar (Atlantic salmon), 72 nucleotides long. The record is from Rfam. NCBI's taxonomy places the organism in Eukaryota, Metazoa, Chordata, Actinopteri, Salmoniformes, Salmonidae.
UCCCGUGUGGCUCAGUUGGUAGAGCAUGGUGUUUGCAAUGCCAGGGUUGUGGGUUCGAUUCCCACGAGGGAC